This 480-nucleotide ribosomal RNA is filed under the name uncultured bacterium. RNAcentral describes it as "bacterial SSU rRNA". It matches the Rfam family "Bacterial small subunit ribosomal RNA", at positions 36 to 517 of the family's 1533-position model. The record is from RNAcentral.
AUUGGCGGGCCGCCUACACAUGCAAGUCGAACGCCCUUUGUCUCGCAAGAGAGGGAGGGAGUGGCGGACGGGUCAGUUUACGUGGGUGACCUAGCCCGCAGNGAGGGAUACCGGCCUUAAAUUGCCGACAAGCCCGCAUAGGCUCGUACUGGUAGAGCAGCACGAGCAAAGGUUUUGUCUCGAGAGAGAGAGCGCCGCUGAGGGAUGGGCCUGUGGCCGAUUAGCUAGUUGGUGAGGUAAGAGCUCACCAAGGCGUCGAUCGGUAGCUGGCCUGAGAGGACGAUCAGCCACACUGGGAUUGAGAACGGCCCAGACUCCUACGGGGGGCAGCAGUGAGGAAUUUUCCGCAAUGGACGCAAGUCUGACGGAGCAACGCCGCGUGCAGGAGGACGCUUUUCGGAGUGUAAACUGCUUUUCUGUGGGAAGAGCUACGGACGGUACCACAGGAAGAAGCCCCGGCUAACUACGUGCCAGCAGCCG